RNA transcript from Austrofundulus limnaeus, 3462 nucleotides. It is a transcript of the gene named YTH N6-methyladenosine RNA binding protein F3, with no coding region annotated. The transcript has 6 exons. NCBI's taxonomy places the organism in Eukaryota, Metazoa, Chordata, Actinopteri, Cyprinodontiformes, Rivulidae. The record is from RefSeq and is a predicted model, not a curated record.
UGUCAGUUAGCAUCGCUUCCGGUUAGCUCAGAGGCUAAGUUGUUAGCAUAUUGUAAUAAAAACAGGUGAAAAGUUGUGUGUCUGUGACUGUCAUGUGAAGUGUCAGUUUGUAACAUGACUCAGAGCGUCACAGGCGGAAGGUCACGGAGCAGCAGGACGGAACGGAAGCGGGAGGAGAAAAAAAAAGCCUAUCCGCCAUUGUGGAAUAUAGUAAGAGGGGAUAUUCCAGUGAGGUACCAGUCAGUUUUAGGUUGACUAAUAAAUAUCAUUUGAGGUUGGAAUCGACUCGCCGAUUGACGCCGGUCUUUCUUUGCGGGACACGAAGCCGCCCMGUCGGAAGCCAGCAGAAGAGAGAGGCAGGUCGUCGUUCGGGGUCUGAGCAGCACGGCAGGAGAAACGCCGCCUUGUAACGUUUCGACUGAUUGGACGGAGCCAGGGGGGAAAAAAAAAAGCACCGAAGUGCAGAAACACAAGACACAGGCAGGAGGGGUGAAGCCGUGGACAGUCUCACAAACAGCGAUUUGUUUUCGGUUCCCGGAGGAUGUCUGCGACCACAGUUGAUCAGAGACCUAAAGGACAAGGAGGAAAUAAAGUGCAAAACGGAUCAAUGCAUCAAAAAGAUGGUGUGAACGAUGAUGACUUUGAACCUUAUCUAAGCGGCCAGACAAAUCAGAAUAACAGCUAUCCACCAAUGUCUGAUCCCUACAUGCCAAGUUAUUAUGCUCCAUCCAUUGGCUUUCCUUAUUCUCUGGGAGAGGCUGCUUGGUCCACAGCAGGAGACCCACCAAUGCCCUACCUUACUACCUAUGGACAGAUGAGCAAUGGUGAGCCGCACUUUAUCCCUGACGGGGUUUUCGGCCAGCCAGGUGCCCUGGGAAACACCCCUCCUUUCCUGGGCCAGCAUGGCUUUAAUUUCUUUCCCGGCAGUGCRGACUUUUCAACCUGGGGUACCAGCGUCUCUCAGGGCCAGUCGACGCAGAGCUCAGUCUACAGUAACAGCUACAGCUACGCUCCUAGCUCGCUGGGUAGGGCUAUCACGGACGGACAGGCGGGCUUUGGAAGCGACACCCAGCUCAGUAAGGUUCCAAUGCUGAGCAGCAUUGAGCAGGGCAUGGCAGGGCUAAAACUGGGUACGGACAUGGUGGCAGCUGUCACCAAAACCGUGGGCUCCCCUUUAGGAGGCACAACAGGUAUGAGCAGUACGGCAGCCAAUAAUCUUCCCCCGCCCAUCAACUCGUCUGUGCCRAAACCUGCCACCUGGGCAGCCAUCGCCAAGAAGCCGGCUAAACUCCAGCCRAAGGUCAAACCCAAAGCCAACAUGGGGAUGGGGGGGCCUGCCACCAUUCCCCCACCCCCAAUAAAGCACAACAUGAACAUUGGUACAUGGGACGAUAAGGGCUCCUUAAACAAACCUCCACUGGCUCAGACUAUGAUACCCCCACAACCUCUGAUGCAGCAGCCUCUCUUAGCUCAACCCCAACCCUUAUUGCAGAACCCCCUACCUCCCCAGCCCCCACACCAGCCCCAGCAUCAACACCAGGCCUUUCAGCUGCAGUCUCUCCACUCCCCUCAGCACCCCCAGCCUCUGCCGCCUGGCCCUCCACACUUACACCUCACCUCCCAACCUGGCCUCCCACAGCCCCUCCAUCAGCAACAACCCCAGCAUCCGGGACCUCCCCCAAAUCGUUGGAUUGCUCCCAGGAACCGGGGCGAGGCCUUUGGUCUUGGUGGCGGAGUCCCGCUGAGUGCCUCCCCCUGUUCUGGAGAAGUGCACCCUGUGCUGGAGAAACUCCGAGCCCUCAACAAYUACAACCCCAAAGACUUUGACUGGAACUUGAAAAAUGGACGCGUCUUCAUUAUCAAGAGCUACUCAGAAGACGACAUCCACCGCUCAAUCAAGUACUCUAUCUGGUGCAGUACAGAGCACGGCAACAAGCGCCUGGACAGUGCUUACCGUUCAUUAGGCAACAAGGGGCCCUUGUACCUGUUGUUCAGCGUCAACGGCAGCGGGCACUUCUGCGGCGUGGCCGAGAUGCGCUCACCCGUGGACUACAAUGCCUACGCUGGCGUCUGGUCUCAGGACAAAUGGAAGGGCAAGUUUGAAGUGAAGUGGGCUUUCAUCAAAGACGUGCCCAACAACCAGCUGCGUCACAUCCGGCUGGAGAACAAUGACAACAAGCCAGUGACCAACUCCAGGGACACUCAGGAAGUGCCCCUGGAGAAGGCCAAGCAAGUGCUWAAAGUUAUCGCCACUUACAAGCAUACCACCUCAAUAUUUGAUGACUUUGCACAUUAUGAGAAACGUCAGGAAGAAGAGGAGGCUCUGAGGAAGGAGUGUUUGUGUCAUCCUCAGGUUUUCUUUAGUGUGUCUACCUCCUUUUUAUCUGAGUGAGACAACAACAAGCCAAAGGUAGUGUCUGCAGUCUCAUGACGGUGUCGACAAAGCUGAUUAUUUGGAGCGCAGCAGAAAUAAACAGUAGCCUUCAAGCAAGCUCCCCCCGCUCAAACAGCAACACUAACAAUGAAGGCCCUUAAAUCAAAUUGGCCCAACCACACAGAGGAGAGGCUCUCAACCUUUCCUCUGCCGACGACGACGUGUCUGAACACUUGAACACAACGAUAGGUGGACUCAUCUGUAUUUGUUUGACUGGUGCAUCAAACCUCGUUCUCCCGUCUCGUGAGAAAACGAACGCAGUCCUGUCUGUCUUUUAAAGCACUUUCAGUCCUCUUAAAGAGCUUCUACAAAUACCUUAACUUUAACGUUUUGUUUGUGAGCAACUAACUAAUUAACCAGAGUAGUCAGGCAAUUUCACUGAGCUUAUUUGUUUUGUUUUCAGUUGUUUUUGGAUGUUAGUGAGCUUCAUCUAGCCCUGAAGAGAACUAAAAGUGUUUAAAUUAAUCUUAAAUCUGGAUUCACCUGUCUGAUCCUUUCACAUUCAUCCUUUGACAGGUGGGACUAAAUAUUUGGGGAAACCGCUGCAGUCAUGCCAAUCAUAAGGUUUUAUUCUACAUGUUCUCUUUUUCUUUCUGCGUCUGUUUCUGUGUACGGAAAGAUUAUGAUUAUGCAGCAAGCUGGUGACUGCCAGCUUGUGCACAUUCUCUCUCUCUUUUUUUUGCUUUUGUUUUUCUUCUCUUUUGUGGUUUCUGUCAUUCUGAAGUGCAUUUGUCUGAGGAGAAACCUGCUUUGGUAGAGUUGGCCGUGGCCUCCUUCGGCCCUGUCGGUGACCGUCUUUGCUCUGAUGUUGACAGAAACAAACCUCAGGCUUAAUCAGACUGUCUGUCCUCAACAACUCUCCUUUUAUUUAAUUUUUUUAUGGGGGGUCAAGUCAGUCGACUUGCAUUAUCCCCCCCACAAAAAAAUAAAAAUAAAAAGGGGCAAAUCAUGAACUGUAAGAGUGACAGUUUUCUCCUCUUGGCAACUCAUUAAGCUAAAUAAAGAAAAAUACUCAUGUUUAGCGCAAA